UCCGGCUUGUCACCGGCAGUUUCUUCAGAGUGCCCAACUGAAUGUAGCAACUAAUGGCAAGGGUUGCGCUCGUUGCGGGACUUAACCCAACAUCUCACGACACGAGCUGACAACGGCCAUGCAGCACCUGUGUUCAGGUUCCCUUUCGGGCACACCUGCGUCUCCGCAGGCUUCCUGACAUGUCAAGGGUAGGUAAGGUUUUUCGCGUUGCAUCGAAUUAAACCACAUCAUCCACCGCUUGUGCGGGCCCCCGUCAAUUCCUUUGAGUUUUAAUCUUGCGACCGUACUCCCCAGGCGGUCUACUUCUCGCGUUAGCUGCGUUACUAAGGGAUUUAACUCCCCCAACAACUAGUAGACAUCGUUUAGGGCGUGGACUAC
This 378-nucleotide unclassified non-coding RNA is filed under the name uncultured Gammaproteobacteria bacterium. RNAcentral's name for it is "contains 16S-23S intergenic spacer region". Lineage: Bacteria; Pseudomonadati; Pseudomonadota; Gammaproteobacteria. The record is from RNAcentral.